This 259-nucleotide ribosomal RNA is filed under the name uncultured bacterium. Its description in RNAcentral is "partial 16S ribosomal RNA". It matches the Rfam family "Bacterial small subunit ribosomal RNA", at positions 793 to 1050 of the family's 1533-position model. The record is from RNAcentral.
GUCCACGCCGUAAACGAUGUGUGCUAGUUGUCGGGCUUUAGAGUUCGGUGACGGAGCGAAAGUUUUAAGCACACCGCCUGGGGAGUACGGCCGCAAGGUUAAAACUCAAAGGAAUUGACGGGGACCCGCACAAGCGGUGGAGCAUGUUGUUUAAUUCGAAGCAACGCGAAGAACCUUACCUACACUUAACUAUCCUCUUGGGACUUUCAGAGAUGAUUGUCUUCGGUUCGGCCGGGGAGUGAAUAGGUGCUGCAUGGCU